AGGUGAUGGCUCAGUGUAUGGCUUCCUUGAUCCUCAAUCAAUACACAUUGGUAAGGAGGACCGUCAACAAUGUCAACUUUAUAUUGAGACAUGGGUGAAGGAAUCACAACGAUGCUUGUACUUAGGAGCAUACUUGCAUCAGUCACAUUGGCAACUAUUUGUUCUCUGCCCUAGGGAAAACAUGGUUGUUUGGUUUUGUUCGUUGCGAAAGAAGCCUGAUGUUAACAUAAAAGCCGUAAUAAAUAGUGCAAUGAAGACAAUAAGUAGUUCUUUG
Molecule: long non-coding RNA, 274 nt
Organism: Glycine soja
Lineage: Eukaryota; Viridiplantae; Streptophyta; Magnoliopsida; Fabales; Fabaceae
Exons: 3
Source: RefSeq, a predicted model, not a curated record